AGAACUGGGAACCUGUUUUUCAAGCUGAUUAUUACACACAUAACACUCAUUAAUAAAUUCUCCCAUUUUUCCAGAAUGUAUUUUCACAUGGACAUUGAUUUCAUCUGUCAAAGGUUGGAUUAUCUCCAUUUUCCAGUUGAAGUAUUUGAACUGACACAAGCUGAAAAUGACGGGACAUGGGAUUCAUACCCAGAAGGAGAAGAGAAGUAACCAGACAGACUCUGCAGAUCGACAGCGCAUAUGAAACGUUCUGCCCUCAUUUUAUUUUAAGGCAUAAAGCUUUCCAGUGUGUGAGCGGCACCUUCAAACUGGGAGCUUAAUGGUGAGUUCAUUGAUUUUUAUCAAACUGUAUUUCUUUAAGAAAGUUCCUAAGAAA
This 376-nucleotide long non-coding RNA is filed under the name Mustela putorius furo (domestic ferret). RNAcentral describes it as "lncRNA (ENSMPUG00000030822.1)". The record is from RNAcentral. Lineage: Eukaryota; Metazoa; Chordata; Mammalia; Carnivora; Mustelidae.